AACGAACGCUGGCGGCAUGCCUAACACAUGCAAGUCGAACGAGACCUUCGGGUCUAGUGGCGCACGGGUGCGUAACGCGUGGGAACCUGCCCUUAGGUUCGGAAUAACUCCCCGAAAGGGGUGCUAAUACCGGAUAAUGUCUUCGGACCAAAGAUUUAUCGCCUUUGGAUGGGCCCGCGUUGGAUUAGCUAGUUGGUAGGGUAAAAGCCUACCAAGGCGACGAUCCAUAGCUGGUCUGAGAGGAUGACCAGCCACACUGGGACUGAGACACGGCCCAGACUCCGACGGGAGGCAGCAGUGGGGAAUAUUGGACAAUGGGCGAAAGCCUGAUCCAGCAAUGCCGCGUGAGUGAUGAAGGCCUUAGGGUUGUAAAGCUCUUUUACCCGGGAUGAUAAUGACAGUACCGGGAGAAUAAGCUCCGGCUAACUCCGUG
RNAcentral lists this ribosomal RNA (433 nucleotides) under uncultured bacterium. Its description in RNAcentral is "partial 16S ribosomal RNA". It matches the Rfam family "Bacterial small subunit ribosomal RNA", at positions 29 to 507 of the family's 1533-position model. The record is from RNAcentral.